CAAUGUGACAUGUUUGAUGUUACCACAUGGAGCGCUAGCAUAGCUGCAUACUGUCGUUGGUAGUGUUUUUAUAAACAUUGCCAGUAAAUACAAUUGGUGUGUGCCGACAACCACAAAAUUUAUAGAGAUGUAUGAAGCUGAUGAGGCACUUUACAACGCGAGGCACGCUGAAUAGAAAAAUAGAUUACGAAGAUUGGAGACCUGACCUAACCUAACCUAACCUAACCCUCUCCUGUACCAAGGAAUCGGAGUGUUACAGUGAGCCUGUCUUUUGCAGAUGUAGCAGUUCUUAAUUUCGAAGCUGCCUGUGUCUCAAUUCUAAAGCAGUGGAUAGGAACCUGCUAUAAAUCGCUGCAGCAACGAUAGCAAUUGCUGGAAGAGGGAAAGAAGGAUAGAAGAGGCAGAAAAAGAGGUUGUUGGGCGCGACAUUGUCUGCACAGACGUGAAGAAGGGAGGGGUAUUUACCAGAGAAUCCCAAUUAAUUCCGCUAUUUUGUGCGCAUGUUACGAUAAAUUGUGUCGUUCAUCAGCGAUAACAUUAAUCACAAAGACACCAUCAUGAGGGAAUAAAUUUCUCCUAGUCGAAGGCUUGCUGUUACUAUCAGGUUCUUAGCAACGGGAGAAAGUUACAAGAGUAUGCCAUUCUCACACAGAAUGUCUGAGCUGAGUAUUUCACACACUAUUAUUCAAGUACACACAGCAAUUUGAAAUGUACUGAAAGAUAAAUAUUUUAAGGCUCCAACAACAGAAAGAGAAUGGCAAGUGAUUGCCAAGAUGUUUCAUGAACUGUGGCAGUCCCCAAAUUGUUUAGGCGGACAACUGCAAAUCAUUUGUCACUGCAACGGAUGCAGACACGGAUGGAGUGGACAAUACAUACAUUGGUGCCACAUUGAGUGACUUGCAGCCGAUGAUGAUGAUGAUGAUGAUGAUUAUGAGGACAAAACACAACACCCAGUCCAACCCGGCCGGGAAUCGAACCCGGGCCUGCUGUAUGGGAGGUAAGCAUGUUACCACUCGGCUAAGCAGGUGGACGACCCUAUUUUUGUAAUACUAGUAAAAAGGACUUUAUCGUUAAUAAAAAUAAAUAAUUAUUGUCAAUGACAUAACUUAAAAUUUUGUAAAAAAAUAUAUCUGACAGUACCCAUGUAAAAAGAUAAUGAA
This is a long non-coding RNA of Schistocerca nitens (vagrant locust), 1160 nucleotides long. RefSeq lists it as uncharacterized. NCBI's taxonomy places the organism in Eukaryota, Metazoa, Arthropoda, Insecta, Orthoptera, Acrididae. The record is from RefSeq and is a predicted model, not a curated record. The transcript is spliced from 6 exons.